Molecule: non-coding RNA, 25 nt
Filed under: Mus musculus (house mouse)
Lineage: Eukaryota; Metazoa; Chordata; Mammalia; Rodentia; Muridae
Source: RNAcentral
UCCACAAGGUUUCAAUGCCUGGUGU